This 85-nucleotide microRNA precursor is filed under the name Mus pahari (shrew mouse). Its description in RNAcentral is "microRNA 290a (MGP_PahariEiJ_G0007065.1)". The stretch from base 9 to 77 matches the Rfam family "mir-290 microRNA precursor family". Lineage: Eukaryota; Metazoa; Chordata; Mammalia; Rodentia; Muridae. The record is from RNAcentral.
CUCACCUUGCGGUACUCAAACUAUGGGGGCACUUUUUUUUUUAACUUUAAAAAGUGCCACCUAGUUUUAAGUCCCGCAGGUUGAG